GAUGAACGCUGGCGGCGUGCCUAAUACAUGCAAGUCGAGCGAACAGACGAGGAGCUUGCUCCUCUGACGUUAGCGGCGGACGGGUGAGUAACACGUGGAUAACCUACCUAUAAGACUGGGAUAACUUCGGGAAACCGGAGCUAAUACCGGAUAAUAUAUUGAACCGCAUUGUUCAAUAGUGAAAGACGGUUUUGCUGUCACUUAUAGAUGGAUCCGCGCCGCAUUAGCUAGUUGGUAAGGUAACGGCUUACCAAGGCGACGAUGCGUAGCCGACCUGAGAGGGUGAUAGGCCACACUGGAACUGAGACACGGUCCAGACUCCUACGGGAGGCAGCAGUAGGGAAUCUUCCGCAAAGGGCGAAAGCCUGACGGAGCAACGCCGCGUGAGUGAUGAAGGUCUUCUGAUCGUAAAACUCUGUUAUUAGGGAAGAACAAAUGUGUAAGUAACUAUGCACGUCUUGACGGUACCUAAUCAGAAAGCCACGGCUAACUACGUG
Molecule: ribosomal RNA, 497 nt
Filed under: uncultured bacterium
Lineage: Bacteria
Description: partial 16S ribosomal RNA
Rfam family: Bacterial small subunit ribosomal RNA
Source: RNAcentral